Prunus dulcis (almond) is the source of this 3882-nucleotide RNA transcript. It is a transcript of the gene named importin-4, with no coding region annotated. NCBI's taxonomy places the organism in Eukaryota, Viridiplantae, Streptophyta, Magnoliopsida, Rosales, Rosaceae. The record is from RefSeq and is a predicted model, not a curated record. The transcript has 21 exons.
CAAAACCCUCACACUACAGCGAACACACAGCCUCCAUUUCCCCUCGCUGGGACCUCCCAAAACGGUGUCGCACAACCGAUACCAGAAACCCUAGAAAAUCACAGAGAGAGAGAGAGAGAGAGACACACAAACACACACACACACACACACACUAGAGAAUUGUAGCGAGGCAGGCAGAAAAGGUCAGACGACAUGUCGCAGUCACUGGAGCUGUUGCUGAUACAAUUCCUGAUGCCGGACAACGACGCUCGGCGGCAAGCAGAGGACCAGAUAAAGCGGCUGGCUAAAGACCCUCAGGUAGUUCCUGCGCUGGUACAGCACCUGCGCACCGCCAAAACUCCGAAUGUGAGACAAUUGGCGGCUGUGCUUCUGAGGAAGAAGAUCACAGGACACUGGGCCAAGCUCUCUCCUCAGAUUAAGCACCUCGUUAAGCAGUCCCUCAUUGAGAGCAUCACCAUGGAGCACAGCCCUCCAGUGAGGCGUGCGAGUGCCAACGUGGUUAGCAUUGUUGCAAAAUAUGCUGUCCCGGCUGGAGAAUGGCCGGAUUUGCUGCCCUUUCUGUUUCAAUGCAGUCAGAGUGCACAAGAGGAACAUAGAGAGGUGGCAUUGAUCCUUUUCAGCUCUUUGACUGAAACAAUAGGGAAUACAUUUCGACCACAUUUCGCAGAUUUGCAAGCUCUUCUUCUGAAAUGCUUGCAGGAUGAGACGAGCACCCGUGUCAGAGUUGCUGCACUCAAGGCAGUGGGGUCUUUUCUGGAAUUCACUCAUGAUGGGGAUGAAGUGGUCAAGUUUCGAGAAUUCAUUCCUAGCAUCUUAAAUGUAUCAAGGCAGUGCCUUGCAGCUGGCGAGGAAGAUGUCGCUGUUAUUGCUUUUGAAAUUUUUGAUGAGUUGAUUGAAUCUCCUGCACCUCUUCUUGGGGAAUCUGUUAAAUCCAUUGUGCAAUUCUCUCUUGACGUUUGCUCAAGUCAAAAUUUAGAAUCUAAUACACGUCACCAGGCAAUUCAGAUAGUUUCGUGGCUAGCGAAGUAUAAAUCCGGUUCCCUCAAAAAGCAUAAGUUGGUCAUCCCUAUUCUGCAAGUUAUGUGCCCAUUGCUUGCAGAAUCGAAUAAUGAAGAUAAAGAUGAUGAUCUUGCUCCAGAUCGAGCUGCUGCAGAAGUUAUUGACACUAUGGCUUUGAACAUACCAAAGCAUGUUUUCCACCCUGUUUUAGAAUUUUCUUCUCUAAGCAGUCAGAAUGCAAAUCCAAAAUAUCGGGAAGCUUCUGUUACUGCUUUAGGUGUCAUUUCAGAGGGUUGUUUGGAAUUGAUAAAAGAUAAGUUGGAUCCAGUUCUUCAUAUUGUUUUAGGCGCUUUGAGAGAUCCUGAGGAAAUGGUCAGGGGGGCCGCGUCAUUUGCAUUGGGUCAGUUUGCUGAGCAUUUGCAGCCUGAAAUUGUCUCUCACUAUCAAAGUGUACUUCCCUGCAUUUUGAAUGCCCUUGAGGACACAUCUGACGAAGUGAAGGAAAAGUCAUAUUAUGCUUUGGCAGCAUUUUGCGAGAACAUGGGUGAGGAAAUUCUUCCUUUCCUUGAUCCGUUGAUGGGAAAACUACUGGGGGCCCUUCAGAAUAGCCCUCGUAAUUUGCAGGAGACAUGCAUGUCUGCGAUUGGUUCAGUUGCAUCUGCUGCUGAACAGGCAUUCGUUCCAUAUGCUGAAAGGGUUUUGGAGUUGAUGAAAAAUUUCUUGGUUCUUACUAAUGAUGUGGAUCUUCGUUCACGAGCAAGAGCUACUGAAUUAGUUGGAAUAGUUGCAAUGUCUGUGGGGAGAACUGGGAUGGAACCGAUUUUACCCCCAUACAUAGAAGCUGCAAUUUCUGGUUUUGGAUUGGAGUACAGUGAGCUUCGGGAGUAUACUCAUGGAUUCUUUAGCAAUGUGGCAGAAAUUUUGGAUGAUGGCUUUAUACAGUAUCUUCCUCAUGUUGUACCCCUCGCAUUUUCUUCCUGCAAUCUUGAUGAUGGAUCUGCAGUGGACAUCGAUGAGUCUGAUGACGAAAAUAUAAAUGGUGUUGGUGGAGUUUCAUCUGAUGAUGAAGCUCAUGAUGAGCCCAGAGUCCGAAAUAUCAGCAUAAGAACAGGUGUUUUAGAUGAGAAGGCAGCUGCAACUCAAGCUCUUGGCUUAUUUGCACUACAUACGAAGACCUCAUAUGGACCCUAUUUGGAGGAAUCAUUUAAGAUUCUAGUACGGCACUCAGGGUAUUUUCAUGAAGAUGUUCGGCUUCAGGCAAUCAUCUCUCUGAAACAUAUUUUAGUAGCAGCGCAGGCAGUUUACCAGAAUCAUAGUGAAGGACAAGCAAGGGCUAAGGAAGUUCUAGAUACUGUGAUGAAUAUAUUUAUCAAGACUAUGACUGAAGAUGAUGACAAGGAAGUUGUUGCUCAAGCUUGUAUGAGCCUUGCUGACAUCAUCAAGGAUUAUGGAUAUACGGCUGUUGAGCCUUAUGUGCCUCGGCUUGUUGAUGCUACUCUGGUACUGCUUCGGGAGGAAUCAGCUUGUCAACUGACAGCAUCUGAUGAGGAAAUUGAUGAUGAUGAUGUUGUACAUGAUGAAGAACUGAUGGACGCAGUUUCUGACCUUCUUCCUGCUUUUGCAAAGUCAAUGGGUCCUCAUUUUGCACCUAUAUUUGCUACGCUAUUUGAACCUUUAAUGAAAUUCGCGAGAGCUUCGCGCCCACUGCAAGAUCGGACAAUGGUUGUUGCCUGCCUUGCUGAAGUUGCUCAGGACAUGGGUGCUCCAAUUGCUGGAUAUAUCGAUAGGGUGAUGCCCUUAGUACUCAAAGAAUUAGCAUCAUCAGAUGCAACCAAUAGGAGGAAUGCUGCAUUUUGUGUUGGAGAGUUGUGCAAAAAUGGGGGUGAGGGGACAUUGAAAUACUAUGGUGAUAUACUGCGUGGACUUUACCCGCUAUUUGGAGAAUCUGAGCCAGAUGAUGCUGUUAGGGAUAAUGCAGCUGGUGCAGUGGCAAGAAUGAUAAUGGUGCACCCUGAAUCCAUCCCAUUAAAUCAGGUACUUCCUGUUUUCUUGAAGGUUCUUCCAUUAAAAGAAGAUCAUGAAGAGUCUAUGGCAGUAUAUAGUUGCGUCUCAACUCUUGUUUUAUCAUCUAAUGGCCAGAUUCUUUCUCUAGUCCCUGAUUUGGUUAAUGUAUUUGCUCAAGUUGUGGCAUCACCACUUGAAACUCCUGAAGUAAAAGCACAAAUAGGCAGAGCUUUUUCUCAUCUGGUUUCACUGUAUGGCCAUCAAAUGCAGCCCCUUUUGAGCAACCUCUCCCCUGCACAUGCAAAUGCCCUAGCUGCAUUUGCUCCAAAAAGCUGAUUCAGAGUGAGCCAGUGACUUGACUUCUCGUUGCAUUUGCUACAAGAAGCGUUCUGAUUGAGCCCAUGAUUGUGGUUCUUCUCCAUUGGUUUUUUGCUUGAUUUUGUUGCUGAGAUUUUUUCCAAUCCAAAGGCUGGUAUGUUAUUCCCAUGUUUUAGCUGGGAUGGCUGAAUCCUGGGAGGAGGGCAUCAUCCUGUAAGGUGAUCCACCUUCCAGUACUACCUCCAUUUUUCAAGGCUGGAGAUACAUGCUUUUUUCUUCCUCUAUUCAUUUGUUUCUUUUGUUUCCAAUAGUAUUCCUUUUCCCCCCUCAAUUUCUGGGUAUAUUCAGCGGUCAUGUGGAUUUUUGUUUUUUUGUUUUUGUUUGUAAUAUUUGUUUUAAGAGAUUGAGGUUGUGCCCUUGUGGGUUUUAUUUUAGGUUUGAAAAUUUCACCUUACCCUUCAUAGAAUUAGUGAAAGAUGACGUGUACCCGCAUUGUGUUGUGUAUAACAGCUUGUCUGUAAGUUUUUGCUUGCAGAAUUAAAUUGCCAAUGUUAAUUCUAA